RNAcentral lists this ribosomal RNA (526 nucleotides) under uncultured bacterium. RNAcentral's name for it is "bacterial SSU rRNA". It matches the Rfam family "Bacterial small subunit ribosomal RNA", at positions 777 to 1301 of the family's 1533-position model. The record is from RNAcentral.
AAUAGAUACCCAGGUAGUCCACGCCGUAAACGAUGAAUACUAGGUGUUGGGGAGCAAAAGCUCUUCGGUGCCGUCGCAAACGCAUUAAGUAUUCCACCUGGGGAGUACGUUCGCAAGAAUGAAACUCAAAGGAAUUGACGGGGGACCCGCACAAGCGGUGGAGCAUGUGGUUUAAUUCGAAGCAACGCGAAGAACCUUACCAGGUCUUGACAUCCCAUUGACCGCACCUUAACCGGUGCUUUCCUUCGGGACAAUGGUGACAGGUGGUGCAUGGUUGUCGUCAGCUCGUGUCGUGAGAUGUUGAGUUAAGUCCCGCAACGAGCGCAACCCCUAUCUUUAGUAGCCAGCAGUUCGGCUGGGCACUCUAGAGAGACUGCCAGGGAUAACCUGGAGGAAGGCGGGGAUGACGUCAAAUCAUCAUGCCCCUUAUGAUCUGGGCUACACACGUGCUACAAUGGUGACUACAAAGAGAAGCAAAGCUGUGAAGUGGAGCAAAUCUCAAAAAGGUCAUCUCAGUUCGGAUUGU